GGCGGCGUGGAUUAGGCAUGCAAGUCGAGCGAGAAACUUCAAAAAGAUGCUUCGGUUGAUUUUUGGAGUGGACAGCGGCGCAAGGGAGAGUAACGAGUAGAUACGUACCCAGGGGUGCGGAAUAGCGGGGGGAAACCGCCGGUAAUGCCGCAUAAAGUCUCCGGACCAAAGAUUUAUCGCCCUUGGAGCGGUCUGCUUCCUAUUAGCUUGUUGGUGGGGUAAUGGCCUGCCAAGGCUCUGAUGGGUAGCGGGUGUGAGAGCAUGGCCCGUCUCACUGGGACUGAGACACUGCCCAGACACCUACGGGUGGCUGCAGUCGAGAAUCUUUGUCAAUGGACGAAAGUCUGAACAAGCGACGCCGCGUGCGGGAUGAAGGCCUUCGGGUUGUAAACCGCUGUCAGAGGGGAGGAAAUUUUGACCGAUCCUCAGAGGAAGCACAGGCUAAGUUCGUGCCAGCAGCCGCGGUAAUACGAACUGUGCGAACGUUAUUCGGAAUCACUGGGCUUAAAGGGUGCGUAGGCGGCUAUGUAGGUCUGAUGUGAAAUCCCACGGCUCAACCGUGGAACUGCGUUGGAAACCAUGUAGCUUGAGGGAGACAGAGGAAAGCGGAACUGAUGGUGGAGCGGUGAAAUGCGCUGAGAUCAUCAGGAACACCGGUGGCGAAAGCGGCUUUCUGGGUCUUUUCUGACGCUGAGGCACGAAAGCUAGGGGAGCGAACGGGAUUAGAUACCCCGGUAGUCCUAGCUGUAAACGAUGAGCACUAGUCCGUGGGGACUUCCACAUCUUCUCGGACGUAGCGAAAGUGUUAAGUGCUCCGCCUGGGGAGUAUGGUCGCAAGGCAA
RNAcentral lists this ribosomal RNA (842 nucleotides) under uncultured Planctomycetota bacterium. RNAcentral's name for it is "bacterial SSU rRNA". It matches the Rfam family "Bacterial small subunit ribosomal RNA", at positions 38 to 896 of the family's 1533-position model. The record is from RNAcentral. Lineage: Bacteria; Pseudomonadati; Planctomycetota.